AUGGGUGAGGACGAAGACCUUGCAGCUGUUGAAUGGGACCCUUUGAACCCUCAUAUGGAAGAAGGUACAGUUUUUGCAUCCAUGAAUGAGUGUAGAAAUGCACUUGUGACAUACUGCAUCAAGGUAGAACAUACUUUCAAAGUUGACAAGAGCGAUCAAGUACGUUAUAGAGUGCACUGUCCGACUGAGGGUUGUCCAUGGAGGUUGCUUGCAUCUAAAAUGCGGAAUAGCACUAAUGUUCAGGUCAAAGUGAACCCUUUUAAGCACACAUGCCAGGAAUCAACCCUUAGGAAGGAUACAAUCAGUAGAGCCAAGUCAAGAUGGGUGGCAAAAGAAGUAAAGAAGUGGGUGAAAGAAAACCAACAAGUGGGUCCAAAGGAAUUGCAGAAGAACAUCAAAGAUAAGUUCAAGAUAGAUUUACCAUACAUGAGGUUGUUCAAUGUAGAUCCAGUGUUCGGAGAGAGUUUCGAUGAAGGCUUCGAUGAAAAUGUUGGUCAGCAGCCGAUUGCCUCAACAGAUGAUGAAAAUGAUGGUCAACAGCCAGUUGCAUCAGAUGAGGAUUUUGACAAGGUUCCAAAUGAUGAUGGUCAACAGCCGCAUGAUUUUGAUGAUGAUCCAAAAUAUCCUCCAAAUAAUGAUUCAAGUCAGGCUCCAAAUGGUGAUCCAAGUGAGGCUCUAAAUGGUGAUCAUGGUGAUCCAAGUGAGGCUCCAAAUGAUGAUCCAAGUGAGGCUCCAAAUGGUGACCAACCUUCUGUUGUUAUGAGUUGUACUAGAUAUGUAAAUCUUGUUUGA
This 792-nucleotide ribosomal RNA is filed under the name Triticum aestivum (bread wheat). Its description in RNAcentral is "partial small subunit ribosomal RNA". Lineage: Eukaryota; Viridiplantae; Streptophyta; Magnoliopsida; Poales; Poaceae. The record is from RNAcentral.